CUACGGGAUGCUCCAGUGAGGAAUAUUGCACAAUGGGGGGAACCCUGAUGCAGCAACGCCGCGUGGAGGAUGACGCAUUUCGGUGUGUAAACUCCUUUUAUAUGUCAAGAGAAUGACGGUAGCAUAUGAAUAAGCACCGGCUAACUCCGUGCCAGCAGCCGCGGUAAUACGGAGGGUGCAAGCGUUACUCGGAAUCACUGGGCGUAAAGGACGCGUAGGCGGGUUGGAAAGUCAGGUGUGAAAUCCUACAGCUUAACUGUAGAACUGCACUUGAAACUUCUAAUCUAGAGUAUGGGAGGGGGAGAUGGAAUUAGUGGCGUAGGGGUAAAAUCCGUAGAUAUCACUAGGAAUACCUAAAGCGAAGGCGAUCUCCUGGAACAUUACUGACGCUAAGGCGUGAAAGCGUGGGGAGCAAACAGGAUUAGAUACCCGAGUAGUC
RNAcentral lists this ribosomal RNA (439 nucleotides) under uncultured bacterium. Its description in RNAcentral is "partial 16S ribosomal RNA". It matches the Rfam family "Bacterial small subunit ribosomal RNA", at positions 339 to 795 of the family's 1533-position model. The record is from RNAcentral.